GUGUGUGAACCUGUAUCCUAGCAGUAUGGUUUUAGGUGGUGGGUACGAAAACAUUAAAUGGUCCUUAAUCACUUAGUGAAAAGAUGUUCUUUUUUCUGUCUUUCAACUUGAAAGGCUCUGUUUGGUGCUAACAUGUCCUUUAUUGCUUUCGAACACAUUCUUACUGGCUUUUAACAAAGCAGGCUUUAGAGCUUUUAGCAGCUAAUAAUAUCCAGCUGACUUCAACACUAACAGUGCAUAUAUAUAUUGCAUACAUAUAUUUUUUUUUUCAUAGUGGGAAUUGAACUCAUGGCUUUGCAUGUUAUAAGCAAGCUUUACUACUUCAUAUCCCCACACUUUUAAAAUGUUUAUUCUGUGACAACAUCUCAAUUUGCUCAUGUGGGCCUUGAUUUUGCUGCAUGGCUCCAGCAACCCUUGAACUAGGGGUCCCCCUGUCUCAGCCUCCUAAGCAGCUGGGGUUACAAGCCUGUACUGCUAGGCUCAACUAACAGUGUCUUAUUUUCAUUGAGUCUUUAACUCUAGCUACAGCAAGUGAUAUUAGUCUUCUAUCAUACUUCUAUUUUUCAGUGGUUGUGCAGCCCAGGCUCAUUCAGAACUUGGCAUGUAGUUUGGGAUGACCGUGAACUCCUGAUCUUCUGCGUCCACCUCUCAAAUACUGGGAGUACAGCUGUAUGCCACCACACCCAACUUCUGUUUUCUGUUCUUGACAUGUUCUGAUUUGUAAACAGGUGAGACAGCUGGGCAGGGUAGUGUGGAUCUGUAACCUCAGCACUUGGGGCACUCAGGACAAGGAGGAUCGCUAGUUUAAGGCAGCCUGCACUACAUAGCAAAAGCUUGUUGAGAAUGCUCUAAGGCUGAAAGUAUGGCUCGGUGAUGGAAUGCCUGCCUAGCUUGCACAAGGCCCUGUAAAGGAGGAGUUCAAAAAAGAAACUCAGGUCCAGCAAGAGUGGGUCUGCAGCGAUUGGGGUUUAGGUAAAUAUCCAAAAGAAUGGGUGGCGGCUUUCAGGAAGGGGCUGGGGGUUCUCAACUAGAAGUGGCAACUUUUUUAGCGGGUGGCUGUUUUGCUCAGUGAACUCAGGCUCUCUGGCUUCUAUGGAGGUCCGCCUCAAGGCUCUAGGCCAGGAAACCUUUAGGUCGUUUUCACUUCUUUUGUUUCAUGUAGGCCUGGAGAUAUCUUACAUUUAGUUCUCGGCCACGGCUUGCAGGUCUCCCACCCACACUGUGAGAACUCCCAGGCCUACCUUAGAUGAUCUCUUCCGCUUCUCGGCUUCGGAUCUCUUCUGCUUCUCGGCUUCCUGUAUGCUGAUUUUCUUGGAUUUCUUGUUCAGUGCUUCAAAGAAGGGCAGAAAGAGCAAAGCCAGAUGUUUCUGGGGUCCAGGUUGUGAAGAGGGAGGGGUAGAGGGGGCUCUGGGAAGUCUCGGAGUGGAAGAGAGAAAGGGACUUCGGGAUGGAUCACAGUAUGGGAAUCAAGCCAACAGGUUCUUAUUAGCCUGGCUUCAGACCUAAAGAGCAGUGUGCUCUGAGAGGGGGCAGAGAGGAAGUCCGAAAGGGACCUAGGACUGUCUGUGACAUCUGUUAGAGACCUGGACUUGGUCUUUUGACCUUGCUAGCCCUUGAUCACCACAGGUACCUUUAGCCUUGCAGGUGCAAGUGCAUUGUGAGUCUCUGGAAAUGGACUCAGUCUUCUGUUACUGGACACAUCUGUGUUAUCUAUGGUUUUGUUUAUUUAUUUAUUUUAAAUUCUCGGAGCUCAGAGCCAGGUUCGCCUGACUUGAGUCCAUGUAACAGCUGUGUGAUCUCCCUGACAAUCAAUUUUCCUCAUCUACAAAAAGGACUCCAUUGUGAGUAAAGUAUGUUAGUAAAACAAAAAGUCUGACAUGGGGCUAGAGAGAUGACUUAGCUGUUAAGAGCACUUGGUGCACUUUCAGAGGACCCAGAUUUGUUUCCCAGCACCCACAAGGUGACUCACAACUGUCUAUAACUCCAGUUUCAGGGGCUCUUCUAGAUUCUUCUGGCCUCUGAGGGUACCAGGACUGCACAUAGUGCCUAGACAUACAUGAAGGCAGAGUAACCAUCUACAUAAAAACCUACAGUUCUCAACCUGUGGGUUGCGACCACUUUGGCAAACCUCCAUCUCCAAGAAUAUUUGCAUUAAGAUUCAUAACAGUAGCAAAAUCACCGUCAUGAAGUAGCAACAAAGGUAAUUUUAUGGUUGGGGGUCAGCACAUCAUGAAGAACCGCAGCAUUAGGAAGGUUGAGAACCACUGCUCUAGACCACCUUCCUGUGCUCAGUGAAAUGCAACUCAACAAAGAGUUGUGAGCUCACAUGUAUAAUUUGCCUGUUUGAAUUCUGGCUCUGGCCAUUAGGAACUGAUGUCAGUAAGCUCCAGUUUCAUCAGCGGUGAAAUAUAAGGAAAACCAAGAGCUGCCUCACGGAACCUAUGCAUGUCCCCUUUUAUUUUGGUUACAGGAACUGAAUCUCGACGUCUUGCAUGCUAAGCAUGUGCUCUGCCCUUGUGCUCAUCCUGAGCCUAUGCCCUUUACGAUCAGGUGAGAUCAAACCAGGAGAUGGCUAGUUAAUGCCAGACUUCGAUGCUCCUUGUAACUUCCCAUCCUAUGGCAAGACUGGUCUAUUGCAGACUUAGUUCUAGUCCAUGGUUUUCCUAAGGUUUGUUUUGUUGGGGAGCUUUGGGAUUCAUUAAGUUUUACAAAUGCUAAGUUAAACUAAAUCCAGCAGCAUCUUGACUUGAGACCUCUUCAGAUCUCUGACACACUCAACUUGGUGGCAUGCAGAGCUCUCCCAAACCCAGGACACUGUAUUUCCCUAGGAAUGAGCAAGAAAGAACCAUAGCUAAGCUGCUGGCAGCCUGGGCAACAGGCUUGACAUACUGUACCCGCUCUCAUGGAUCAGAGCCUAGGGGCUGGGUCCCAGGCCAGGCUACUUACCCACAACAGAAACAGAAGAGAAAUCCUUGCAAUUCAUGGAGGAGUUGCUACUCAGACUCCUGUCAUCUCUGAGCGUCUCCUUGGGUACCAGGUGGCUGUAGACAGCAAGGAAGCAUAGGAAGCCCACUAGAGUGGCCAGGAGUAGGCGAGUGACAUCCAUCCUGAGAAGCCUAAAUUGGACAGAGAAGCUGGUUGGUGGUGGGUUCGGAGAGAAGAUGGUGGUAGGAGGAUGUGCCUUUGGGCUGGCCGUCUGACUCUGCUAUAAAAGUAUCUCAGCAGGGCAGGAAGUCUGGCAAGGCUGAGGGCAGGGAUGUCGAUAUAGGGAGAUGACAGAAAAGGAGAGAUGGGGAGAAGAGAGAAAGAGGAGGAAGGGAGGGAGAUUGAAAGAGCACAAGAAUGCAUUGUGUUGGUCUGUGCUGUCCAGAGGGCGGGGUACUGACUCUUUCUGUUUCUUUUCUUUUUUUUCUGUAUAAGCAGCAGUCCCAGGGGACCUUAGGCCUAAGCAGAGCUGUUGAAAGUGCCCCCUGGCCCCCCAGGAGUGCCUCACAGUGGCAGAGGUCUUACCAAGGUGAAGAAAGUACAAGUUAAAGGUCAGUGAGAGGGAUGAGGGAUGAAGGUCCCUGAAGACAAGUGGAUGCCAUCUCAUACACCAGAUUCCCUGCUGGCCCAGAGGGAACAGAUGCAGGAGCAGCGUUCUGAGGCGUGGUAUCAGGAGGACACAUUCUGCUGAGGUUGGGAAAGAAACAUUUAAAGGAAGAAGAGACUGACGAAAAGAAGCCCUGGCCAUAAAUUUUGCUUGCUUCUCAAGACUGUUUCCUUAAGAGUGGGUCUGAAGAGAGGCAAUUCAAGGCACUGAGCCCAGCAUGCUGAGGGAUUUUGAAAACCAGCCUAAGCCAUGACUGAUGGGGAACAUUAGAAAGUCAAGGUCCACUAAGCAUGAGGAAUUUGUCAACGUUUGAGCUUGUAGAUCUGCUGUCAUUGGUUAGCCCAAUCCUAGAAGUUAGUGCUGAGCAAUUAGCCACUAACCAAAAGCUUACAACCACCCUCGGCUGAGCUACCCUCGCUGCUGCUUGGACAAGUGGAUACCACUUCAACAAACCUCCAUUCUGUCCUGUCCCAUCCAUUCACAUAGUGGUUCCCGGCCCUGC
Peromyscus eremicus (cactus mouse) is the source of this 4094-nucleotide long non-coding RNA. RefSeq lists it as uncharacterized. The record is from RefSeq and is a predicted model, not a curated record. Lineage: Eukaryota; Metazoa; Chordata; Mammalia; Rodentia; Cricetidae. The transcript is spliced from 3 exons.